GCGGGUGUGGUUCACCGGUAGAAUGCCUCCUUGCCAAGGAGGAGAUAGAGGGUUCGACUCCCUUCACCCGCU
This 72-nucleotide transfer RNA is filed under the name bacterium. RNAcentral describes it as "tRNA-Gly". It matches the Rfam family "tRNA". From Rfam's summary of the family: Transfer RNA (tRNA) molecules are approximately 80 nucleotides in length. The record is from RNAcentral.